Molecule: non-coding RNA, 24 nt
Filed under: Arabidopsis thaliana (thale cress)
Lineage: Eukaryota; Viridiplantae; Streptophyta; Magnoliopsida; Brassicales; Brassicaceae
Source: RNAcentral
CUUUGUAGUUUAUCCCUAGGUGGC